Molecule: ribosomal RNA, 468 nt
Filed under: uncultured bacterium
Lineage: Bacteria
Description: partial 16S ribosomal RNA
Rfam family: Bacterial small subunit ribosomal RNA
Source: RNAcentral
GACGAACGCUGGCGGCGUGCUUAACACAUGCAAGUCGAACGGAAAGGCCCUGCUUUUGUGGGGUGCUCGAGUGGCGAACGGGUGAGUAACACGUGAGUAACCUGCCCUUGACUUUGGGAUAACUUCAGGAAACUGGGGCUAAUACCGGAUAGGAGCUCCUGCUGCAUGGUGGGGGUUGGAACGUUUCGGCGGUUGGGGAUGGACUCGCGGCUUAUCAGCUUGUUGGUGGGGUAGUGGCUUACCAAGGCUUUGACGGGUAGCCGGCCUGAGAGGGUGACCGGCCACAUUGGGACUGAGAUACGGCCCAGACGCCUACGGGAGGCAGCAGGGGGGAAUAUUGCACAAUGGGCGGAAGCCUGAUGCAGCGACGCCGCGUGCGGGAUGACGGCCUUCGGGUUGUAAACCGCUUUCGCCUGUGACGAAGCGUGAGUGACGGUAAUGGGUAAAGAAGCACCGGCUAACUACGUG